ACCACACACGUUAUGUUGCCGUCUCGCUCUAAUGUUGAGAGGAGGGCAUGCGGCGCGGUAAAAUAAAAACAUUGAAUGAAACAGCUCGCAAUGAUUGCCACCGGUUACAUAUGGGUUACGCAUUGCCUUGACAAAUCGUUGUAAAUUGUCAGAACGCAGUAAAAAUUCAAACACACGGCUAGGCAUGGUAUGCAUCCAGGGUGGUAAGACAUAUUGACACUUCGGUCGAAAACUCAGCGGGGAGUCCUUCUAUAGAUCUUCUACGAACGCCGUGUGGGAUAUACCUGAUUGAGACCACAAAGGUUAAUUAUCCUGUCUCCGAAUCUCUUCGCGAUGUCAGUGCGUGUAAGAGAUGGCGGGAGAGUUUCCCUCUUAGAGAGAUACUGCGAUAGUGACCAU
Papilio machaon (common yellow swallowtail) is the source of this 399-nucleotide long non-coding RNA. RefSeq lists it as uncharacterized. The record is from RefSeq and is a predicted model, not a curated record. Lineage: Eukaryota; Metazoa; Arthropoda; Insecta; Lepidoptera; Papilionidae. The transcript is spliced from 3 exons.